Molecule: ribosomal RNA, 462 nt
Filed under: uncultured bacterium
Lineage: Bacteria
Description: partial 16S ribosomal RNA
Rfam family: Bacterial small subunit ribosomal RNA
Source: RNAcentral
CUACGGGGCGCACCAGUGAGGAAUAUUGCACAAUGGGCGCAAGCCUGAUGCAGCCAUGCCGCGUGUAUGAAGAAGGCCUUCGGGUUGUAAAGUACUUUCAGCGGGGAGGAAGGGAGUAAAGUUAAUACCUUUGCUCAUUGACGUUACCCGCAGAAGAAGCACCGGCUAACUCCGUGCCAGCAGCCGCGGUAAUACGGAGGGUGCAAGCGUUAAUCGGAAUUACUGGGCGUAAAGCGCACGCAGGCGGUUUGUUAAGUCAGAUGUGAAAUCCCCGGGCUCAACCUGGGAACUGCAUCUGAUACUGGCAAGCUUGAGUCUCGUAGAGGGGGGUAGAAUUCCAGGUGUAGCGGUCAAAUGCGUAGAGAUCUGGAGGAAUACCGGUGGCGAAGGCGGCCCCCUGGACGAAGACUGACGCUCAGGUGCGAAAGCGUGGGGAGCAAACAGGAUUAGAUACCCGUAGUC